UGCGUCGAGCGAACAGAUGAGAAGCUUGCUUCUCUGAUGUUAGCGGCGGACGGGUGAGUAACACGUGGGUAACCUACCUAUAAGACUGGGAUAACUCCGGGAAACCGGGGCUAAUACCGGAUAAUAUUUUGAACCGCAUGGUUCAAUAGUGAAAGACGGUUUCGGCUGUCACUUAUAGAUGGACCCGCGCCGUAUUAGCUAGUUGGUAAGGUAACGGCUUACCAAGGCGACGAUACGUAGCCGACCUGAGAGGGUGAUCGGCCACACUGGAACUGAGACACGGUCCAGACUCCUACGGGAGGCAGCAGUAGGGAAUCUUCCGCAAUGGGCGAAAGCCUGACGGAGCAACGCCGCGUGAGUGAUGAAGGUCUUCGGAUCGUAAAACUCUGUUGUUAGGGAAGAACAAAUUUGUUAGUAACUGAACAAGUCUUGACGGUACCUAACCAGAAAGCCACGGCUAACUACGUGCCAGCAGCCGCGGUAAUACGUAGGUGGCAAGCGUUAUCCGGGAAUUAUUGGGCGUAAAGCGCGCGUAGGCGGUUUCUUAAGUCUGAUGUGAAAGCCCACGGCUCAACCGUGGAGGGUCAUUGGAAACUGGGAAACUUGAGUGCAGAAGAGGAGAGUGGAAUUCCAUGUGUAGCGGUGAAAUGCGCAGAGAUAUGGAGGAACACCAGUGGCGAAGGCGGCUCUCUGGUCUGUAACUGACGCUGAUGUGCGAAAGCGUGGGGAUCAAACAGGAUUAGAUACCCUGGUAGUCCACGCCGUAAACGAUGAGUGCUAAGUGUUAGGGGGUUUCCGCCCCUUAGUGCUGCAGCUAACGCAUUAAGCACUCCGCCUGGGGAGUACGACCGCAAGGUUGAAACUCAAAGGAAUUGACGGGGACCCGCACAAGCGGUGGAGCAUGUGGUUUAAUUCGAAGCAACGCGAAGAACCUUACCAAAUCUUGACAUCCUUUGACCGCUCUAGAGAUAGAGUCUUCCCCUUCGGGGGACAAAGUGACAGGUGGUGCAUGGUUGUCGUCAGCUCGUGUCGUGAGAUGUUGGGUUAAGUCCCGCAACGAGCGCAACCCUUAAGCUUAGUUGCCAUCAUUAAGUUGGGCACUCUAGGUUGACUGCCGGUGACAAACCGGAGGAAGGUGGGGAUGACGUCAAAUCAUCAUGCCCCUUAUGAUUUGGGCUACACACGUGCUACAAUGGAUAAUACAAAGGGCAGCGAAUCCGCGAGGCCAAGCAAAUCCCAUAAAAUUAUUCUCAGUUCGGAUUGUAGUCUGCAACUCGACUACAUGAAGCUGGAAUCGCUAGUAAUCGUAGAUCAGCAUGCUACGGUGAAUACGUUCCCGGGUCUUGUACACACCGCCCGUCACACCACGAGAGUUUGUACACCCGAAGCCG
This 1391-nucleotide ribosomal RNA is filed under the name Mammaliicoccus sciuri. RNAcentral describes it as "bacterial SSU rRNA". It matches the Rfam family "Bacterial small subunit ribosomal RNA", at positions 56 to 1429 of the family's 1533-position model. Lineage: Bacteria; Bacillati; Bacillota; Bacilli; Caryophanales; Staphylococcaceae. The record is from RNAcentral.